Molecule: transfer RNA, 72 nt
Filed under: Camelus bactrianus (Bactrian camel)
Lineage: Eukaryota; Metazoa; Chordata; Mammalia; Artiodactyla; Camelidae
Also listed under: 3 other names
Rfam family: tRNA
About the family: Transfer RNA (tRNA) molecules are approximately 80 nucleotides in length. Their secondary structure includes four short double-helical elements and three loops (D, anti-codon, and T loops).
Source: Rfam by way of RNAcentral
GAGGGUAUAGCUCAGUGGUAGAGUAUGUGCUUAGCAUGCACAAGGUCCUGGGUUCAAUUCCCAGUACCACCA